This 491-nucleotide ribosomal RNA is filed under the name uncultured bacterium. RNAcentral describes it as "partial 16S ribosomal RNA". It matches the Rfam family "Bacterial small subunit ribosomal RNA", at positions 29 to 507 of the family's 1533-position model. The record is from RNAcentral.
GUGAACGCUGGCGGUAGGCCUAACACAUGCAAGUCGAACGGCAGCACCGUAAGAGCUUGCUCUUACGGGUGGCGAGUGGCGGACGGGUGAGGAAUACAUCGGAAUCUACUUUUUCGUGGGGGAUAACGUAGGGAAACUUACGCUAAUACCGCAUACGACCUACGGGUGAAAGCAGGGGAUCUUCGGACCUUGCGCAAUUGAAUGAGCCGAUGUCGGAUUAGCUAGUUGGCGGGGUAAAGGCCCACCAAGGCGACGAUCCGUAGCUGGUCUGAGAGGAUGAUCAGCCACACUGGAACUGAGACACGGUCCAGACUCCUACGGGAGGCAGCAGUGGGGAAUAUUGGACAAUGGGCGCAAGCCUGAUCCAGCCAUACCGCGUGGGUGAAGAAGGCCUUCGGGUUGUAAAGCCCUUUUGUUGGGAAAGAAAAGCAGCAGGUUAAUACCCCGCUGUUCUGACGGUACCCAAAGAAUAAGCACCGGCUAACUUCGUG